Molecule: microRNA precursor, 62 nt
Organism: Sinocyclocheilus anshuiensis
Lineage: Eukaryota; Metazoa; Chordata; Actinopteri; Cypriniformes; Cyprinidae
Source: Ensembl
UCCCUGAGACCCUAACUUGUGACGUUCUGCUUCGAUGUCCACGGGUUGGGUUCUCGGGAGCU